This 255-nucleotide ribosomal RNA is filed under the name uncultured bacterium. RNAcentral's name for it is "partial 16S ribosomal RNA". It matches the Rfam family "Bacterial small subunit ribosomal RNA", at positions 524 to 776 of the family's 1533-position model. The record is from RNAcentral.
GACGAAGGAUGCAAGCGUUAUCCGGAUUCAUUGGGUUUAAAGGGAGCGUAGGCGGACUUGUAAGUCAGUGGUGAAAUCUGUGGGCUUAACCCACAAACUGCCAUUGAUACUGCAGGUCUAGAGUACAGUUGCCGUUGGCGGAAUAUGACAUGUAGUGGUGAAAUACUUAGAUAUGUCAUAGAACACCGAUUGCGAAGGCAGCUAACGAAGCUGUAACUGACGCUGAGGCUCGAAAAGUGCGGGGGAUCAAACAGG